RNAcentral lists this ribosomal RNA (1447 nucleotides) under uncultured organism. RNAcentral describes it as "SSU rRNA". It matches the Rfam family "Bacterial small subunit ribosomal RNA". The record is from RNAcentral.
GCUACAGGCUUAACACAUGCAAGUCGAGGGGCAGCAUGGUCUUAGCUUGCUAAGGCCGAUGGCGACCGGCGCACGGGUGAGUAACACGUAUCCAACCUGCCGUCUACUCUUGGACAGCCUUCUGAAAGGAAGAUUAAUACAAGAUGGCAUCAUGAGUCCGCAUGUUCACAUGAUUAAAGGUAUUCCGGUAGACGAUGGGGAUGCGUUCCAUUAGAUAGUAGGCGGGGUAACGGCCCACCUAGUCUUCGAUGGAUAGGGGUUCUGAGAGGAAGGUCCCCCACAUUGGAACUGAGACACGGUCCAAACUCCUACGGGAGGCAGCAGUGAGGAAUAUUGGUCAAUGGGCGAGAGCCUGAACCAGCCAAGUAGCGUGAAGGAUGACUGCCCUAUGGGUUGUAAACUUCUUUUAUAAAGGAAUAAAGUCGGGUAUGCAUACCCGUUUGCAUGUACUUUAUGAAUAAGGAUCGGCUAACUCCGUGCCAGCAGCCGCGGUAAUACGGAGGAUCCGAGCGUUAUCCGGAUUUAUUGGGUUUAAAGGGAGCGUAGAUGGAUGUUUAAGUCAGUUGUGAAAGUUUGCGGCUCAACCGUAAAAUUGCAGUUGAUACUGGAUAUCUUGAGUGCAGUUGAGGCAGGCGGAAUUCGUGGUGUAGCGGUGAAAUGCUUAGAUAUCACGAAGAACUCCGAUUGCGAAGGCAGCCUGCUAAGCUGCAACUGACAUUGAGGCUCGAAAGUGUGGGUAUCAAACAGGAUUAGAUACCCUGGUAGUCCACACGGUAAACGAUGAAUACUCGCUGUUUGCGAUAUACUGCAAGCGGCCAAGCGAAAGCGUUAAGUAUUCCACCUGGGGAGUACGCCGGCAACGGUGAAACUCAAAGGAAUUGACGGGGGCCCGCACAAGCGGAGGAACAUGUGGUUUAAUUCGAUGAUACGCGAGGAACCUUACCCGGGCUUAAAUUGCAGAUGAAUUACGGUGAAAGCCGUAAGCCGCAAGGCAUCUGUGAAGGUGCUGCAUGGUUGUCGUCAGCUCGUGCCGUGAGGUGUCGGCUUAAGUGCCAUAACGAGCGCAACCCUUGUUGUCAGUUACUAACAGGUUCCGCUGAGGACUCUGACAAGACUGCCAUCGUAAGAUGUGAGGAAGGUGGGGAUGACGUCAAAUCAGCACGGCCCUUACGUCCGGGGCUACACACGUGUUACAAUGGGGGGUACAGAGGGCCGCUACCACGCGAGUGGAUGCCAAUCCCCAAAACCUCUCUCAGUUCGGACUGGAGUCUGCAACCCGACUCCACGAAGCUGGACUCGCUAGUAAUCGCGCAUCAGCCACGGCGCGGUGAAUACGUUCCCGGGCCUUGUACACACCGCCCGUCAAGCCAUGGGAGCCGGGGGUACCUGAAGUGCGUAACCGCGAGGAGCGCCCUAGGGUAAAACUGGUGACUGGGGCUAAGUCAUA